Molecule: long non-coding RNA, 301 nt
Filed under: Phoenix dactylifera (date palm)
Lineage: Eukaryota; Viridiplantae; Streptophyta; Magnoliopsida; Arecales; Arecaceae
Description: long non-coding RNA (PDAC_LNC013242)
Source: RNAcentral
UCCUCCGUAAUGUCCACCACCUCGGAGAAUCUAUUCUGCAACAGCUCCAGUUCACGGGGCGAUGGCCGAUGGCAUGACCAAGCCGGCUGCCGGGAGGUUCCUUUCGCAACAUCGGCCCAGGACCGGUCCUUCACCGCACCCCCCCCCAUCCUGCGCCACAUAUCCCUCCUCCUUCCCCGGCCCCGGCCGAGACGAAGCCCCCUUCCGAGCAUCCAUACCACCCAACCCCUCUACUGUUCACCGAAAUUCCCCAGUGACCCCCCAGUGACCCAACCCCUCCAUACCCAAGGUAAGUUCUCUA